UACGGGGGGGGUAAGCGUUGUUCGGAAUUACUGGGCGGAAAGGGCUCGUAGGCGGCCAACUAAGUCAGACGUGAAAUCCCUCAGCUUAACUGGGGAACUGCGUCUGAUACUGGAUGGCUUGGAUUCGGGAGAGGAAUGCGGAAUUCCAGGUGUAGCGGUGAAAUGCGUAGAUAUCUGGAGGAACACCGGUGGCGAAGGCGGCAUUCUGGACCGACAUUGACGCUGAGGAGCGAAAGCCAGGGGAGCAAACGGG
This 253-nucleotide ribosomal RNA is filed under the name uncultured bacterium. RNAcentral's name for it is "partial 16S ribosomal RNA". It matches the Rfam family "Bacterial small subunit ribosomal RNA", at positions 524 to 776 of the family's 1533-position model. The record is from RNAcentral.